Copidosoma floridanum is the source of this 325-nucleotide long non-coding RNA. NCBI's taxonomy places the organism in Eukaryota, Metazoa, Arthropoda, Insecta, Hymenoptera, Encyrtidae. The record is from RefSeq and is a predicted model, not a curated record.
GCUUAACAUGCUUUAAUGAAGUAACGUGUUACACAAAAGUUGAUGAUCCCUUAUCUGUCGCUGCCUGCACAGUAAAAUUUUUCAAUACAGACGGAGUGUUUAUGUAGAGCUAGUGAGUCCUUGACUCCUCCUUUACCAAUUGAUUUUCAGGAGCAACGCUCUCUUAACGAAGAACAAGAUGAAAAGAUUAUGCGAUAAAGAGUGGGCCGAUUGUCAACUAGAAUAUCCUUACAAAACAUUGUAUAAUGAUAUGUUGCUGUACACGAACGAUUGGAGUGCAUGUCCUGAAAUUUUCAUCGUAUUAACGAACGAUACAAUGUUAUAG